RNAcentral lists this unclassified non-coding RNA (348 nucleotides) under soil metagenome. RNAcentral's name for it is "partial contains 5.8S ribosomal RNA, internal transcribed spacer 2, and large subunit ribosomal RNA". The stretch from base 1 to 120 matches the Rfam family "5.8S ribosomal RNA", at positions 35 to 154 of the family's 154-position model. The record is from RNAcentral.
GAUGAAGAACGUAGCGAAAUGCGAAAAGUAAUGUGAAUUGCAGAAUUCAGUGAACCAUCGAAUCUUUGAACGCACAUUGCGCCCGCUGGAACUCCGGCGGGCACGCCUGUCCGAGCGUCAUUUCAACCCUCAGGCCCCCCUUCGCGGGCGGGCCUGGUGUUGGGGCCCGGCCGCUACCCUGCGGCCGUCCCCUAAAUUCAGUGGCGGCCUCGUCGUGAUCCCUUGCGUAGUAAUGCACCUCGCACCGGAGAGCGCCGUGGCCACGCCGUAAAACCCCCAAUUUUCAAUGGUUGACCUCGGAUCAGGUGGGAAUACCCGCUGAACUUAAGCAUAUCAAUAAGCGGAGGA